AUGAAAUAAUAUGCUAGGGCCCCUGCUGGGGACCGAUGCAUUAGGACGCUCUCUUUAGAGGUCCGACCCAUUCAUUACCUUUACACUGUGCACACUCUCUUUACACACCUUUAAACACUUCAGUAUAAGAAUGUAACAGUCUCUUGAUUGAGCAUAAAACAAGUUA
RNAcentral lists this unclassified non-coding RNA (166 nucleotides) under uncultured Basidiomycota. RNAcentral's name for it is "sequence contains ITS1". The record is from RNAcentral. Lineage: Eukaryota; Fungi; Basidiomycota.